This 188-nucleotide unclassified non-coding RNA is filed under the name plant metagenome. RNAcentral's name for it is "partial contains small subunit ribosomal RNA and internal transcribed spacer 1". The stretch from base 1 to 46 matches the Rfam family "Eukaryotic small subunit ribosomal RNA", at positions 1786 to 1831 of the family's 1831-position model. The record is from RNAcentral.
AAGUCGUAACAAGGUUUCCGUAGGUGAACCUGCGGAAGGAUCAUUACCUAGAGUUGCGGGCUUUGCCUGCCAUCUCUUACCCAUGUCUUUUGAGUACCUUACGUUUCCUCGGCGGGUCCGCCCGCCGACUGGACAAUUUAAACCACUUGCAGUUGCAAUCAGCGUCUGAAAAAGCUUAAUAGUUACAA